GGAUGUGAAGGCGAUCUGGCUGCAACAUGUCACCCCAUUGAUUGCCAGGGUUGAUUCAGCUGAUCUGGCUGGUUAGGAGGGUGUCCCCUUCCUCCCUCACCGCUCCAUGUACGUCCCUCCUGAAGCUGCGCGCUUGGUCAAAGAGGACAACCAUCCCCGACAGAGGAGGACCAUUCUUUGGUCAAGGGUACACAAGUAGCUGCGCUCCCCUGUUAGAACCUCCAAACAAGCUCUCAAGAAAUAUAUGAAUACAUAAAUACAUAAAUAAGAAUUCACCAGCUUACAGAAACAGCUUCAUUU
RNAcentral lists this small nuclear RNA (300 nucleotides) under Castor canadensis (American beaver). Its description in RNAcentral is "7SK RNA (ENSCCNG00000010341.1)". It matches the Rfam family "7SK RNA". Rfam says of the family: 7SK was discovered as an abundant small nuclear RNA in the mid-70s but a possible function has only recently been suggested. Two independent studies have found that 7SK RNA binds the CDK9/cyclin T complex (known as elongation factor P-TEFb). Lineage: Eukaryota; Metazoa; Chordata; Mammalia; Rodentia; Castoridae. The record is from Rfam by way of RNAcentral.